RNAcentral lists this ribosomal RNA (1753 nucleotides) under Euglena granulata. RNAcentral's name for it is "LSU rRNA". It matches the Rfam family "Bacterial large subunit ribosomal RNA", at positions 993 to 2776 of the family's 2925-position model. Lineage: Eukaryota; Euglenozoa; Euglenophyceae; Euglenales; Euglenaceae. The record is from RNAcentral.
GGGGGAUAAGCUUCAUUGUCGAGAGGGAAACAGCCCAGACCACCGUUUAAGGCCCCUAAAUAUUUGCUAAGUGAUAAAGGAUGUAAUAUUACGUAGACAACCAGGAGGUUUGCCUAGAAGCAGCCAUCUUCCUUUAAAAAGUGCGUAAUAGCUUACUGGUCAAGUGAUAUUGCGCCGAAAAUGAACGGGACUAAGCAUUUUGCCGAAGACGUGGGAGAAAUCAGUAGAAGAGCGUUCUGUCUGGUUAGAAGUAAUAGCGAAAGCAGUUAUGGACUUGGCAGAAGUGAGAAUGUCGGCUUAAGUAACGAAAACAUUGGUGGAAAUCCAAUGCCCCGUAAACCUAAGGGUUCCUUAGCUAGGUUCGUCCACUAAGGGUUAGUCAGAUCCUAAGAUGAGGCUUAAAAGCGUAGUCGAUGGUUAACAGGUUAAUAUUCCUGUACUACUUUUAUUUUUUUACGGGUAACGAAAAAGGCUAGGUCAUCCAAGAGUUGGUUUUUGGUUUAAUUUUUCAAGGUAUAGGGAAUGAAUAAAAACAUUUUCUGCUGAGGAUUAAAAAAUACAGUAUUACGGUACUGGAAAUGGCUGAUGUCAUGUUUCCUAGAAAAACCCUAAUAAAGUUAAGAUAAAAGUAUCUGUACCGUAAACUGACACAGGUGGGUUGGUUGAGAAUACUAAGGGGCGCGAGAUAACUCUUUCUAAGGAACUCGGCAAAAUGGCUCCGUAACUUCGGGAGAAGGAGUACCUCAUAUUGAGGUCGCAGUGAUCAGGUCCAAGCGACUGUUUACCAAAAACACAGGUCUCCGCUAAGUCGAAAGACGAUGUAUGGGGGCUGACGCCUGCCCAGUGCCGGAAGGUUAAAGAAAUUGGUUAGCGUAAGCGAAGCUAGUGACUGAAGCCCUGGUGAACGGCGGUCGUAACUAUAACGAUCCUAAGGUAGCAAAAUUCCUUGUCGGGUAAGUUCCGACCCGCACGAAAGGCGUAACGAUUUGGACACUGUCUCUGAAAGAGACUCGGUGAAAUAGAAUUGACUGUGAAGAUGCGGUCUACCUGCACUUGGACAGAAAGACCCUAUGAAGCUUUACUGUAACCUGAAAUUGAUUUCGGACUUUUCUUGCGCAGAAUAGGUGGGAGGCCUUGAACCCUUCUUUCGGGAAUGGGUGAGCCGAUCCUUGAGAUACCACUCUGGAAAAGUUAGAAGUCUAAUAGUAUUUUUAUCAAGAUACUUGACAGUUUCAGGCGGGCAGUUUUACUGGGGCGGUAGCCUCCUAAAAGGUAACGGAGGCGCACAAAGGUUCUCUCAGUCUGGACGGAAAUUAGAUGUAGAGUGUAAAGACAUAAGAGAGCUUGACUGCGAGACCUAUAAGUCGAGCAGAGACUAAAGUCGGUCUUAGUGACCCGACGGUGCUGAGUGGAAAGGCCGUCGUUCAACAGAUAAAAGUUACUCUAGGGAUAACAGGCUGAUCUCCCCCAAGAGUUCACAUCGACGGGGAGGUUUGGCACCUCGAUGUCGGCUCAUCGCAACCUGGGGCGGUAGUACGUCCCAAGGGUUGGGCUGUUCGCCCAUUAAAGCGGUACGUGAGCUGGGUUCAGAACGUCGAGAGACAGUUCGGUCCAUAUCCGGUGCAGGCGUUAGAGUAUUGAAAGGACCUUUCCUUAGUACGAGAGGACCGGGAAAGACACAUCACUGGUGUACCAGUUUUUAUGCCAAUAGAAUAUGCUGGGUAGCUAAAUGUGGAGUGGAUAACUGCUGAAA